RNAcentral lists this ribosomal RNA (641 nucleotides) under uncultured bacterium. RNAcentral's name for it is "bacterial SSU rRNA". It matches the Rfam family "Bacterial small subunit ribosomal RNA", at positions 9 to 650 of the family's 1533-position model. The record is from RNAcentral.
GAGUUUGAUCCUGGCUCAGGAUGAACGCUGGCGGCGUGCUUAACACAUGCAAGUCGAACGAAGCAGCAUGGAACGAAUCUUCGGAGGAGGGAAAUGGUGACUGAGUGGCGGACGGGUGAGUAACGCGUGGGUAACCUGCCUCGUACAGGGGGACAACAGUUGGAAACGACUGCUAAUACCGCAUAAGCGCACGAUACUGCAUGGUAUUGUGUGAAAAACUGAGGUGGUACGAGAUGGACCCGCGUCUGAUUAGCUGGUUGGUGGGGUAACGGCCUACCAAGGCGACGAUCAGUAGCCGACCUGAGAGGGUGACCGGCCACAUUGGGACUGAGACACGGCCCAAACUCCUACGGGAGGCAGCAGUGGGGAAUAUUGCACAAUGGGGGAAACCCUGAUGCAGCGACGCCGCGUGAAGGAAGAAGUAUUUCGGUAUGUAAACUUCUAUCAGCAGGGAAGAAAAUGACGGUACCUGAGUAAGAAGCCCCGGCUAACUACGUGCCAGCAGCCGCGGUAAUACGUAGGGGGCAAGCGUUAUCCGGAUUUACUGGGUGUAAAGGGAGCGUAGACGGUAAUGUAAGUCUGAUGUGAAAGCCCGGGGCUCAACCCCGGGACUGCAUUGGAAACUAUGUAACUAGAGUACC